RNAcentral lists this ribosomal RNA (253 nucleotides) under uncultured bacterium. RNAcentral's name for it is "partial 16S ribosomal RNA". It matches the Rfam family "Bacterial small subunit ribosomal RNA", at positions 524 to 776 of the family's 1533-position model. The record is from RNAcentral.
UACGAAGGGGGCUAGCGUUGCUCGGAAUCACUGGGCGUAAAGCGCACGUAGGCGGGUCCUUAAGUCAGGGGUGAAAUCCCGGAGCUCAACUCCGGAACUGCCUUUGAUACUGGGGAUCUUGAGUCCGGAAGAGGUGAGUGGAACUCCGAGUGUAGAGGUGAAAUGCGUAGAGAUCUGGAGGAACACCGAUGGCGAAGGCAGCCUUCUGGGCCAACACUGACGCUCAUGCACGAAAGCGUGGGGAGCAAACAGG